GGCCUUAUCAUCAACUAUUACUCGACUUACACAUGCAAGUCUCCGCACACCCGUGAGAACGCCCUUUACCCCUCUACAGGAUAAGGAGCUGGUAUCAGGCACAGACAAUCUUGCCCAUGACACCUAGCCACGCCACGCCCUCAAGGGUAUUCAGCAGUGAUAAACAUUGUUUAUAAGCGCCAGCUUGACUCAGUCAGGGUAAACAGAGCCGGCUAAUCCGGUGCCAGCCGCCGCGGCUACACCGUCGGGCUCAAGUUGACUACACCGGCGUUAAGCGUGAUUAAAGUGAACUUGCGAUUAGAAUUAAACUUUAACCAAGUCGUGACACACUUGCUAUUAGGAAGACCAUAAACGAAAGUUAUUCUAACAUACCCACUUGAACCCACGACAGCUGGGGCACAAACUGGGAUUAGGUACCCCACUAUGCCCAGCCGUAAAAUAUUAACUCACACUCAAAACCGCCAGGGAAUUACGAGCCCAAGCUUAAAACCCAAAGGACUUGACGGUGUCCCACCCACCUAGAGGAGCCUGUUCUAUAAUCGAUUCUCCCCGAUAAACCUCACCACUUCUAGCCAACUCAGCCUGUAUACCUCCGUCGUAAGCUUACCAUAUGAACGCUAAUUAGUGAGCUUAAAGAUCUUUACAUCAACACGUCAGGUCAAGGUGCAGCUCACGAAGUGGGAAGUAAUGGGCUACAAUUUCUAACUUAGAACACACGAAAGACUACAUGAAACACAGUCAUGAAGGCGGAUUUAGCAGUAAAAAGAAAAUAGAGAGUUCUUUUUAAUUAGGCGCUGGGACGCGUACACACCGCCCGUCACCCUCUUCAAACGC
Molecule: ribosomal RNA, 834 nt
Filed under: Scaphiophryne calcarata (Mocquard's rain frog)
Lineage: Eukaryota; Metazoa; Chordata; Amphibia; Anura; Microhylidae
Description: partial small subunit ribosomal RNA
Rfam family: Bacterial small subunit ribosomal RNA
Source: RNAcentral